AUUGAACGCUGGCGGUGUGCUUCACACAUGCAAGUCGAACGAGGUAGCAAUACCUAGUGGCGGACGGGUGAGUAACGCGUGGGAAUCUGCCUUUAGAUGGGGGAUAACGGGUCGAAAGACUCGCUAAUACCGCAUAUGACGAAAGUUGAAAGGAGUAAUCCGUCUAAAGAUGAGCCCGCGUCCGAUUAGCUAGUUGGUAGAGUAAAAGCCUACCAAGGCGACGAUCGGUAGCUGGUCUGAGAGGAUGAUCAGCCACAAUGGGACUGAGACACGGCCCAUACUCCUACGGGAGGCAGCAGUGGGAAUUUUACGCAAUGGGCGAAAGCCUGACGUAGCGACACCGCGUGAGCGAAGAAGCCCCUUGGGGUGUAAAGCUCUGUCAGCUGGAACGAAAAAAUAGACGGUACCAGCAGAGGAAGGCAUCGGCUAACUACG
RNAcentral lists this ribosomal RNA (435 nucleotides) under uncultured bacterium. RNAcentral describes it as "bacterial SSU rRNA". It matches the Rfam family "Bacterial small subunit ribosomal RNA", at positions 30 to 505 of the family's 1533-position model. The record is from RNAcentral.